GACGAACGCUGGCGGCGUGCCUAAUACAUGCAAGUUGAGCGCUGAAGGUUGGUACUUGUACCAACUGGAUGAGCAGCGAACGGGUGAGUAACGCGUGGGUAAUCUGCCUUUGAGCGGGGGACAACAUUUGGAAACGAAUGCUAAUACCGCAUAAAAACUUUAAACACAAGUUUUAAGUUUGAAAGAUGCAAUUGCAUCACUCAAAGAUGAUCCCGCGUUGUAUUAGCUAGUUGGUGAGGUAAAGGCUCACCAAGGCGAUGAUACAUAGCCGACCUGAGAGGGUGAUCGGCCACAUUGGGAAUGAGACACGGCCCAAACUCCUACGGGAGGCAGCAGUAGGGAAUCUUCGGCAAUGGACGAAAGUCUGACCGAGCAAAGCCGCGUGAGUGAAGAAGGUUUUCGGAUCGUAAAACUCUGUUGGUAGAGAAGAACGUUGGUGAGAGUGGAAAGCUCAUCAAGUGACGGUAACUACCCAGAAAGGGACGGCUAACUACGUG
This 497-nucleotide ribosomal RNA is filed under the name uncultured bacterium. RNAcentral's name for it is "partial 16S ribosomal RNA". It matches the Rfam family "Bacterial small subunit ribosomal RNA", at positions 28 to 507 of the family's 1533-position model. The record is from RNAcentral.